GCUUUAGUGUCAUGUGAUCUUGCAAGGAGGAGAAAAGAAAAUAAUGAAUGGUAGCUCGAGAGUUUUUUAUCGUGAGUUUUGUUUGAAGGUCUGUGAGUUCUACUCGACUCUUUGCCCUUCGGCUUGGGAUGGUCUGUGCCUUGGAUCAGAUCAGGCUCUCCCCAACUUUCCCUUCUCCGUCCCUCCUCCUAUCUUUUCUCUCUUUUUUUUUUUUGAGGGUCGGCUUCAACGAAGUCGGCCCGCGUGUGUGGAGGCUGAAAGGGGCUCAGUUGGAAGGGCGCACGUGCGGAGGCGUCGUCGGCCGAAGGAGGGGUACACGGAGGUCAUUGAAGGAA
This 335-nucleotide long non-coding RNA is filed under the name Elaeis guineensis (African oil palm). RNAcentral's name for it is "long non-coding RNA (EGUI_LNC077303)". The record is from RNAcentral. Lineage: Eukaryota; Viridiplantae; Streptophyta; Magnoliopsida; Arecales; Arecaceae.